UCGAGAAUCUUCGUCAAUGCCCGAAAGGGUGAACGAGCGACGCCGCGUGAUUGAUGAAGCCCUUCGGGGUGUAAAGAUCUUUUCUUCGGGAAGAACAAAUGACGGUACCGAAGGAAUAAGCCUUGGCUAACCUCGUGCCAGCAGCCGCGGUAAUUCGAGGAAGGCAAGCGUUAUCCGGAAUCAUUGGGCGUAAAGCGUGCGCAAGCGGUUAUAUAAGUGAGGUGUCAAAUUCCAACGCUCAACGUUGGACUCGCGCUUCAUACUGUAUGACUUGAGAAUAGUAGAGGCAAACGGAAUUCCCGGUGUAGUAGUGAAAUGCGUUAAUAUCGGGAGGAACGCCAAAAGCGAAAGCAGUUUGCUGGGCUAUUUCUGACGCCGUUGCACGACAGCGUGGGGAGCA
RNAcentral lists this ribosomal RNA (400 nucleotides) under uncultured bacterium. Its description in RNAcentral is "bacterial SSU rRNA". It matches the Rfam family "Bacterial small subunit ribosomal RNA", at positions 355 to 770 of the family's 1533-position model. The record is from RNAcentral.